Molecule: long non-coding RNA, 227 nt
Filed under: Elaeis guineensis (African oil palm)
Lineage: Eukaryota; Viridiplantae; Streptophyta; Magnoliopsida; Arecales; Arecaceae
Description: long non-coding RNA (EGUI_LNC041213)
Source: RNAcentral
GCCGAUCUUCUCCCGUGCAGCCGCCAGCUCGACCUCGAGGGAGCUGAUCUUGGAAGCCUGAGUCCAAGAUCGAUCGCUGGCGUAUUUCUGGAGUUCCUAAAGCUCCUUCAUGAAGUUGGCCUUCUUCUGGGUGUAGUCCAUGAAGUCCAUUUUUGUGGAGGUCUCGAAGGCGAGUAACCUCCACAGUUGCCUCCGAAUGGCUCUUCCUCAGUCUGUGAAGUUCGUCG